GUCAAUGUGAUGAACACUUGGGCAAGAUCGAGCUGGAAAAAUGUGAUGCUGUAUCUGUGACAUUUUCUCUUAGAGCAUAUUAACAGCCUGCCCUGCCUAUCAGUGUUUUAAACCUCUGCCUGUAAAGCAUGCAGCUAAUAUUUUGGACAUUUCUUUGACUUAUUAUACCUUUGAUGAUGGAAUCCAUAAGUCCUAAAUGUAAAAAUGUUGAGGAACUGUGUCUGAACUUCACAAUUUCUGCUAUGUGUUUGGUCUGUUUCGGUUUUGGAAGAAGUGAAGUCUUGGCUGUAGUGAAGCUAGUAGGUGAAGACAAAUCUAUGGCAAAUCCGGUGGCGACACGCAGUAUAAAAUACCAACAGAGUAACAUGGAGAGCGGCGAGGACGGUGCAAGUUUCUUGAGCUAAAGUCACCAGAGUGGAGAUUUCACAGGUGGAACCAAGGCGGCAGAAAUCCAAGGAAGCACACUGUUGUGCUGGAUUAUGGGCAGCAGUGCUGUAAAACCAGUCUGGAAAGACGGAGAUCCCUGAGCCCUGAGGGGAGGGUUUGAUGAAGACAUCCCAUUUAUGACUAGGUGCUCCAAUGUCUGUUACUGUCCAGCUGUGGGUCUCUGCAUUCAUUCCCAUCUACUGCGAGAAGAAGCUUCUCUGAACUGAGUGGAGCCUUUGUCAUGGUGAUGGAGAAGUCAGCAACAUGGAGUCUGAUCUUUUGGAGGACAGAUAAGAGCAGAAGCCAAAAGCAUCCGCAAACAGCUCUUGGGAUCUCACAAAGAGAUCCUACUAAACUCUCUCAUCUCUGCAAAGACAUCUUGCUGGCUGCCUUUGGUAUCCACAAGUAGGCACGGCCGUAGCCAUCACCACCAGAUGCUGAUGUUACCAUUGAACAUUUUAAGGCAAGGACAGGUUUUAUGGGGUCUUAACACAAGGCCCUCAGCCACACCUGACUUCCCCAGAAGAGAGGUAGAUGUGCAUUUAUUUACAUAUAAAAGAGGAAGAAGAUGUGAGUCAAUGGGUCGGAACAGAUGGUCCUGAGCACACUGUCCUUUCUCUCUGACAGUGACUCAAGUGGGUGGCUGGUUGACCAAGGCAUUUCCAGUCCUUGCAUAUGCCUCUCCCCAGGAUGGCUUCUCAAUCACAGAAGCAAAUAUGUGGGCCCUGGCCCCCCACUGUGAGUGGCUGCCACCUUGCUUGCCGACCUUGACCAGA
Long non-coding RNA from Peromyscus maniculatus bairdii (prairie deer mouse), 1202 nucleotides. RefSeq lists it as uncharacterized. The record is from RefSeq and is a predicted model, not a curated record. Lineage: Eukaryota; Metazoa; Chordata; Mammalia; Rodentia; Cricetidae.